RNAcentral lists this ribosomal RNA (252 nucleotides) under uncultured bacterium. RNAcentral's name for it is "partial 16S ribosomal RNA". It matches the Rfam family "Bacterial small subunit ribosomal RNA", at positions 524 to 776 of the family's 1533-position model. The record is from RNAcentral.
UACGUAGGGGGCUAGCGUUAUCCGGAAUUACUGGGCGUAAAGGGUGCGUAGGUGGUUUCUUAAGUCAGAGGUGAAAGGCUACGGCUCAACCGUGGUAAGCCUUUGAAACUGGGGAACUUGAGUGCAGAAGAGGAGAGUGGAAUUCCUAGUGUAGCGGUGAAAUGCGUAGAUAUUAGGAGGAACACCAGUUGCGAAGGCGGCUCUCUGGACUGUAACUGACACUGAGGCACGAAAGCGUGGGGAGCAAACAGG